Molecule: ribosomal RNA, 253 nt
Filed under: uncultured bacterium
Lineage: Bacteria
Description: partial 16S ribosomal RNA
Rfam family: Bacterial small subunit ribosomal RNA
Source: RNAcentral
UACAGAGGUCUCAAGCGUUGUUCGGAUUCAUUGGGCGUAAAGGGUGCGUAGGCGGCGCGGUAAGUCGGGUGUGAAAUCUCGGAGCUUAACUUCGAAACUGCAUUCGAUACUGCCGUGCUUGAGGACUGGAGAGGAGACUGGAAUUUACGGUGUAGCGGUGAAAUGCGUAGAUAUCGUAAGGAAGACCAGUGGCGAAGGCGGGUCUCUGGACAGUUCCUGACGCUGAGGAGCGAAAGCGUGGGGAGCGAACAGG